AGUGAACGCUGGCGGUAGGCCUAACACAUGCAAGUCGAACGGCAGCACAGUAAGCGCUUGCUCUUACGGGUGGCGAGUGGCGGACGGGUGAGGAAUACAUCGGAAUCUACUUUUUCGUGGGGGAUAACGUAGGGAAACUUACGCUAAUACCGCAUAAGACCUACGGGUGAAAGCAGGGGAUCUUCGGACCUUGCGCGAUUGAAUGAGCCGAUGUCGGAUUAGUUAGUUGGCGGGGUAAAGGCCCACCAAGGCGACGAUCCGUAGCUGGUCUGAGAGGAUGAUCAGCCACACUGGAACUGAGACACGGUCCAGACUCCUACGGGAGGCAGCAGUGGGGAAUAUUGGACAAUGGGCGCAAGCCUGAUCCAGCCAUACCGCGUGGGUGAAGAAGGCCUUCGGGUUGUAAAGCCCUUUUGUUGGGAAAGAAAAGCAGCAGGUUAAUACCCCGCUGUUCUGACGGUACCCAAAGAAUAAGCACCGGCUAACUUCGUG
This 492-nucleotide ribosomal RNA is filed under the name uncultured bacterium. Its description in RNAcentral is "partial 16S ribosomal RNA". It matches the Rfam family "Bacterial small subunit ribosomal RNA", at positions 29 to 507 of the family's 1533-position model. The record is from RNAcentral.